This 76-nucleotide small nucleolar RNA is filed under the name Phaseolus vulgaris (common bean). RNAcentral describes it as "snoRNA snoR53Y". It matches the Rfam family "Small nucleolar RNA snoR53Y". The record is from Rfam by way of RNAcentral. Lineage: Eukaryota; Viridiplantae; Streptophyta; Magnoliopsida; Fabales; Fabaceae.
GUUCCCAAUGAUGCUUUCCUUUUUACCAUGCUAAUGCUGAUGACAUGAUUGUUACUUCUAUUGUACUGAGGGAACU